Molecule: long non-coding RNA, 643 nt
Organism: Mesocricetus auratus (golden hamster)
Lineage: Eukaryota; Metazoa; Chordata; Mammalia; Rodentia; Cricetidae
Exons: 4
Source: RefSeq, a predicted model, not a curated record
AGGUGAACUGAGGAAGACACGUGAGUACAUCUCUACUUCAGAAGGAAGGCGGUGUAAUUGCCAGAGCCUCACAGGGAAGAAGUGGGACCUUGAUUGAGAUUGUGGCCAAUGAGAGAGCCAUAUCAGAGGAGGCAAAGGAGGUGGACAGUAUUCUAAAGAUGAAGCUGAAAACCAUCUUCCAGCCUCUACACACACAACACCCAUAACAACCCAUACCCGUUGGAACAAGAUCUCCAGAACCGGAACAGGGAAACAGCAGUUGGAAGAAAUUUCGAUCCAUAGUCAUUGUUCCAUAGACUCUGGACCUGUGUGUGGUGAGGCAGAAACUGAUCACGGAGGGAGUAUGCGCUAGAGAAAGCAGAACAGACGGUGACGGAAAAGGAGCGGGGUUAGAGCCAGUUGCUAACUACAUGCCCAAAGUGACCAAUGUCCUCCAUCUCCACUCUGCCUCUCACAGUACUGCCUCAGAUUUGGUGUCAUCGGAGGAUUGAACCAAUCAAAACAUCCUCAUAGAUCCACCCAGACAUGUGCGUUUCCAGUCUACCAGAUGAUGCACACCAUUUGUAUCCUGCCUUUGGAACACCCGUGAGCAUUCCUCGAGGCUUUGUGUGUCACAGAACAGUUUGGCAAAUGGCAUUUGAGA